Molecule: long non-coding RNA, 1473 nt
Filed under: Rattus norvegicus (Norway rat)
Lineage: Eukaryota; Metazoa; Chordata; Mammalia; Rodentia; Muridae
Description: long non-coding RNA NONRATT003244
Source: RNAcentral
AUUUGAGUCCAGAAAUUACAACAGAAGAUAUCAAGUCAGCAUUUGCCCCCUUUGGUAAAAUAUCAAUUGCUCAUAAGAAUGGACAGGAUCUUGAAGGCUAACUGCAAGGAACUGUGCACACUGGAACUCAGUUGUAGAUUUUUUUUCUCAUUUCUAUUUAUUCUUAUUAUACAUUAUUUAUAUAUACAUAUUUUAGUAUUUACAUUUUAACAUUCUAUAUUCAGUGGAGUUCUAUAUUUCCAAUCAUUUUAACUUACUCACUAAAAUUUCUGUGUAAAUUUGUUGUUUUCGUACUGGUGUGCUUAGCGUUGUUGUUAGUUUUUUAUUCUCCUUUCUUAAAUUUCUGAAAAUGUCAAUUUUUCAAAAUUUACAGCUGCCCAAACUCCAAAAUGAUGAUAGAGAAUUGACCAAGAAAAAUAAAGAAAUCUGUUAACAGGCCAUGGAUGCCCGGGUAGUUAAAGAUAUGGCAACUGGAAAGUCCAAAGGCUAUGGUUUUGUAUCUUUUUAUAACAAACUGGAUGCAGAGAAUGCAAUUGUGCAUAUGGGGGGUCAGUGGUUGGGAGGUCGACAAAUCAGAACCAAUUGGGCCACACGUAAACCACCUGCCCCUAAAAGUACACAAGAAACUAACACUAAGCAGUUGAGAUUUGAAGAUGUAGUAAACCAGUCAAGUCCAAAAAACUGCACUGUGUACUGUGGGGGGAUCGCUUCGGGGCUGACAGAUCAACUUAUGAGACAAACAUUUUCACCAUUUGGACAAAUUAUGGAGAUAAGAGUUUUUCCAGAGAAGGGGUAUUCGUUUGUCAGAUUUUCAACUCAUGAAAGUGCAGCCCAUGCUAUUGUUUCUGUGAACGGUACUACAAUCGAAGGACAUGUGGUUAAAUGCUAUUGGGGUAAAGAAUCUCCUGAUAUGACUAAAAACUUCCAACAGGUAAUUCGAUUUUUCUUAGCACUUUUUGCGGUUUCCAUCUUACAUGUCUACAUAGGAGCUUUGGAAAUUGUAAAAUAAACAGUAAAAUAAAGCGUAUAGCUGCUUUCAGUUGAUUGUGUAAAAUGCUAUUUCAAAAUUGUUUUGCGGUAUUAACUGAAUCUUAAUACUUUCUUUUCACAGGUGUCACCACCCCAAUAAACUUAGACAAUGAUAAAUAACAGAGUCCUAUUCACAUAAGGGUGCUUACUUAGUUUUUCUCUUCCUUGUCUCCCACUCUUUCUUCAAAUACGGUGUUUUGUUCUUGUUCCCUAAAACAGUCAUUUGCUUCUUUCCUAGGUUGACUACAGUCAGUGGGGCCAAUGGAGCCAAGUGUAUGGAAACCCACAACAGUACGGACAGUAUAUGGCAAAUGGGUGGCAAGUACCUCCCUAUGGAGUAUAUGGGCAGCCAUGGAACCAACAAGGAUUUGGAGUAGAUCAAUCACCUUCUGCUGCUUGGAUGGGUGGAUUUGGUGCUCAGCCUCCACAAGGACAAGCUCCGCC